Non-coding RNA from Chelonoidis abingdonii (Abingdon island giant tortoise), 102 nucleotides. The record is from RefSeq and is a predicted model, not a curated record. Lineage: Eukaryota; Metazoa; Chordata; Testudines; Testudinidae.
GCCGGUACUUGGUGAAGGACAAGCAGAGGAGCGGGUUCCGGCAACCUUGACUUCUCGGAUGCCCGUAUUAUCAACAGCUGAAAGACUCCAAGAAGAAGCCGC